UUCAUCAAGUCCUUAGAAAUAUUGUAAACCCUCCCUCUACCCAAACCCUCUAUCGGCGAAAAACCUCCAUUAGCAAAGAACCUCCACCCACAAAAAUCAAAACCACCAUCAAAAGUCCCGAAAUUGAAACCCUCCUUCAACAAUUUGACAAUCGCGAAAUUGAAACACUCCAUCAAAAAAUUAAGAAUCGCAAAAUUGCUGCGAAAGAUUCAGAGACAAUCACUAAGGCACCGCACCGCACCGCACAAAGACGCAGGCGAACCCUUCCAAAACCGUCUUCGGUUUCAGCCUUUCCAGACUCGCUCUCAAUUCCAUCUGGUUUGGCAGUCAGGCACAAGGCUCAAAGGGAUAAUUGUUUCUGACGCUUCCAGAUUUGGCACUCAAACAUAUACAGGGGUAGACACUUGAGAGUUGAGAAUCUAUGAGAAUCUUGUGACUAGCAAAUGCCAACUAGCUCGGUGAAGUUGUUAAAGGUAGUAUCCGCAGUUCUUGGCACAUAUACAAAACUUCACAUGAAAAAACUUAGCUGAUAAGUUAACGCGAAUCAUAUAAGCCUGAUAUCACUUACUGAGCAAGCUAUUUUUUUAUUUAGCAUCUAAUUUCGUGAUUUUACCAACUAUUGUUAUUGUAGACAAGAGAUAAGUAAAACCAAGUUAAACGCCAUGAUUGGUCUCAUUGAUUGGGAAUGAGUUUUCAUGAGUUAUAUAAUGAUUUUGUGACAGUUAGCAAAGGAAGCCCUUGAAUAGGAAAUCCACGCAAAAAAUGCAGCUUCGGGGAAGAAAGUUAAAAGAUACUGCUACAAAGGCUGGCAAAGGCCGUGAGAAAGCCUCAUUUUUCAGAGAGAUUUGUAAGGACAAUGGAAAAGGAAUGCCACAUGAUGACAUACCUAAUAUGUUUGGGAGAUGUGUAAUAUGCUUAAAUUUGAAAGGAGUUCACUUUAUUGUCCUGCUUUUACUUUAUUCUUAAUUUUUUUUAAUGCAGUUCUAUCCGGAACAAAAUACGGACUGAAACAAACACAUGGAAAAUUCGGUUUGAGGGCUAAGAUGGUGAGUGCACUCUUCGGCUGUUGGCCUGUUGCAAAAACUUAGAAACUCUUUUGUUGUAUAUAAACUUUUUUUGCACUGGAUAGCAGUAUAAGUGCUAGGUCUCCACUUUUAAGCUACAUAAUUUUUCAUGCUAGAGACUAAGUGGUAUUAUGCUUAUAUGAUUCCCUUUUUUUUUUCCUAUGAAACUAAUGUUUUCCUUGUGAAUGAAGUAUAAUUCAUUGGAUGUUGGUCGUGAUUUGCCUUGAAAGAGGUUUUCUUCGAUUCAUGGCUGAUGGAUCGUUAGACAAUUUGCAUACAAAAAGGCUUCUUGUUUGUGUAAGUACUCUAUUUAACAGUUAUGGCAAUCUGUUUUACAGUCUCGUUUCCAUGAUUUUCCUCCUCUUGUGUUAUGUGCAUGUAUACUUGGUAUGAAUGAAAUACUCGUAGUUGGUUCCUUUGUACCUUAGAAAUAUGUAGUAGAUAUGAUUGUGAGAUAGACAACAAGAAAACAGGAGAAAGACCAGCAGCUACCUAAAAUUUUAGAAGAACAUCAAAAUAUUUGGUUGGAAAUGACAAGAAACAAAAAAUUAUCAGUGUGUCACCUAAGAAUUUGAAUUGGCAGACAUACACAGACAUGCACAUCAAAAGAAAUAGAAAGAUUCAAGUACUCAUCCUUUCUCAAUUGAUGUCCCAUAUUUCACCCACCUUUAAAUCCAAGAAACUUAGAUGCUACUAAUCUACUUAUUCAUAUUUUCAGAUCCUAGUGCCUGAUUAAUGUAAGGGAAAGUCGGCACUACUAGUUUGCUUAUAGACUUUUAUGAUUUUAUCGUAUUAUUAGUUAUCUCUUGUAAAUUAUAAUUACUGUCAUUAAUUUUUGCAUUAUCUACUAUUGGAGAGGUAUAUCAUGAAGAACAUGGAGUUGGAUAAUACAUUUUUCAGCCGAGUAUUUCAAG
Molecule: long non-coding RNA, 1978 nt
Organism: Spinacia oleracea (spinach)
Lineage: Eukaryota; Viridiplantae; Streptophyta; Magnoliopsida; Caryophyllales; Amaranthaceae
Exons: 5
Source: RefSeq, a predicted model, not a curated record